This 259-nucleotide unclassified non-coding RNA is filed under the name plant metagenome. Its description in RNAcentral is "partial contains small subunit ribosomal RNA, internal transcribed spacer 1, and 5.8S ribosomal RNA". The stretch from base 1 to 54 matches the Rfam family "Eukaryotic small subunit ribosomal RNA", at positions 1778 to 1831 of the family's 1831-position model. The record is from RNAcentral.
GGAAGUAAAAAUCGUAACAAGGUCUCCGUUGGUGAACCAGCGGAGGGAUCAUUACCGAGUUUACAACUCCCAAACCCCAUGUGAACCUUACCAAACGUUGCUUCGGCGGGAUGCCCCGGGCGCGGGCCGCAAGGCCUCAGCCCCGGAACCAGGCGCCCGCCGGAGGCCCAAACCAAACUCUUGUUUUUGUAGAAUCUUCUGAGUGGCCUUUUAGGCAAAAAAUGAAUCAAAACUUUCAACAACGGAUCUCUUGGUUCUG